This 956-nucleotide long non-coding RNA is filed under the name Homo sapiens (human). RNAcentral describes it as "novel transcript". The record is from RNAcentral. Lineage: Eukaryota; Metazoa; Chordata; Mammalia; Primates; Hominidae.
CGAAGAGGACGUGGCAUCAAAACCAAGGUUGAAAAAGAUCAUCUAGCAAAGCCUUUUUUCCCAGCUACAUAUAAGGAAUUUGAAAGUCGCAUAAAAUGGUUAAGAAAAUGUGCCAAGAUUACCUCAGUAAUUCUGGUCUGUGUUCUCAGGAGACCCUGGAAAUAAACAAUGUGUCUUCUGUGGCUUCAGCGUCACCUAGUGCAGGCUGCCAUUCAACAAACGCAUUGUCAACAGUCAACCAAAAGAAACCCAUUGGCCACCAUACCCUGAGGACUAACCCUGACACAGAUGCCCUUCCAGAUGCCCUCAGUAGUCUAACUGAUUCCAUCGCCCCAGCCUUGGGGGAGAAGCACUGCUGCCUAUGCACUCCAUUUACAGGUGAACUGUCACCCCUACAACUCAGCUUGCAACCAGCCCUGGCCACCACCAGUUUCCCCACACUGAGCUGAAUAUUGGACAUGCCCAUCUUAGACAUUCCAGCCCAUUCUGAAAUUCCACAUCGAUUCACCCGACAAAGUCUGAAGUUCCAGGGCAAUUUAUCUGGAAAAGCUCACCUGGAAUCAUGUGUCAUUUCAACCAACAACUGUCGAAGAGGACGUGGCAUCAAAACCAAGGUUGAAAAAGAUCAUCUAGCAAAGCCUUUUUUCCCAGCUACAUAUAAGGAAUUUGAAAGUCGCAUAAAAUGGUUAAGAAAAUGUGCCAAGAUUACCUCAGUAAUUCUGGUCUGUGUUCUCAGGAGACCCUGGAAAUAAACAAUGUGUCUUCUGUGGCUUCAGCGUCACCUAGUGCAGGCUGCCAUUCAACAAACGCAUUGUCAACAGUCAACCAAAAGAAACCCAUUGGCCACCAUACCCUGAGGACUAACCCUGACACAGAUGCCCUUCCAGAUGCCCUCAGUAGUCUAACUGAUUCCAUCGCCCCAGCCUUGGGGGAGAAGCACUGCUGCCUAUGCACUC